Long non-coding RNA from Brassica rapa (field mustard), 2678 nucleotides. RefSeq lists it as uncharacterized. NCBI's taxonomy places the organism in Eukaryota, Viridiplantae, Streptophyta, Magnoliopsida, Brassicales, Brassicaceae. The record is from RefSeq and is a predicted model, not a curated record.
UAGCACAACCAAGAAAAGCGCGUAACACAAAUACACAGGUUUUUAAUUUUAAUUAACAUUUCUCUUUGUGAUAUAACCAACGAACAAUAUACUGAUAUAGAGCAUAAAGUAAAUGACACACUGAAUUUGUUAACGGGGUUCGUUUCCUAUAUCCACGGGACCUCGUCCAGAUUUCAUUAAUCACUAGAACAAGAAUGCAAAUACAUCAUUAUUUACUAACGUAUACAUCAGGCACAAACCUCCUGACACGCUUUUUUCUAGAUAGAUAUCUACGAAGAUUAGGAAUCAAGCACGCAUGCAUAGAUCUCAUCUGGCCGCACCAGAGCUCACUGUCUUCACACAGCUGCAAUCUUUCCAGACCUCCUCAAUGAACUAUAUUUGCUAAACUUCCCCUGAGUCAAGGCUUCAACCUUCCACCUCUCGGAAGGUACAUCACCAUGUACUUCACCAAGUACGUCACCGAGUACUUCACCAAGUACGUCACCGAGUACGUUAACACCAGACACAUACUAUAGAUACCAACGAGCACGUCACACUAACACACAGCUUGGUCACCACACCUCAACAGACACACCAAAUGUGUCUGAAACGCUUGAUCACCCAAGCACACACAAAGUUCACAAGAGAUACACACGAUGGCUAACUCCACCACACAAAGCGCCAACUCCAACGCCACCAAACUAAGUCCACAUCAGACUCCAUCGGCCACUACGUCAGACCGAAGGACAACACUCAACACUUAAUAAAACUCUCUCUCUCUUUUUACUUAAUCUAUGGGUGCUAAUUUCUCAUAAGGGCACGUCCCUCCUUAUAUAUAAACCAUAGACUUGCUCUCCAAGUUCAUUAAAUGCACCUUAAUGAACUUCCAUUCCCAUAUAACGAAACUUCCUAUUCCUCUCCAAGUAACACUUAUUCUCCAAGCAAAGCCUCUUUGCUUAAUGGAAAACGUCAUUUGUCUUUAACAAGAUAUUCUCUUUCCUUAUCCAAUCUCCACUUACACACGCAAUCACCUUAGACAAUCUCCUUGUAAGCAACUUCUCCACUCGACGUCCUGCCGUACGUCUUGACAUAGGUCUUGACACACCUUCUGAUGUACAUCACGAACUACGUACAUCAGAACCUCUCUGGAAAUAUUAUCUACAAUUUCCUCUCUUGCGAACAACAAAGAAGAUGAUCUAUCUAGACUCCCUCUCUACUCCAAGAAGACAAUCAACUGAUUCCCUCUCUACUUCGCGAAGACGAUUAAAGCUUCUGUCCAGGAGAAUGACGCGAGAACAACCAAUGGAAGAAGAUCUGGCAGCUGCGGAAGCCCUAAUACUCUUGAGCAAGAGCAAGACGCAAGCACCCAUUCAUCCACUUCCUUCUUUGAUCAUGUCUCCAAAUCUGUAUGAGUCUAGAUGUUCUCUCAUUGGAUGCUCACUGUCAGUCCAUAAACCUUUCAAAUGUUGCUCAACAAGUCACCGAAACAUGGCCAAGAUCAUGUCUUCACAAGACCUUCCAAUUUAGUUUUAGGAAAGAACGUGACAGCUUCUGCGGUUGCAUCCUCAUCAACAAACCCAAACACACAGAACUGUUCUGAAACCAAUGAUGUUGUGAAUCCUUCUGCUUUCACUGAAAAUAUGUUACACUCACUUAUUGAGACAAAGAAUUUUGUAACAUUUUUUGUGCAAAUUGGAAUUUCUUGAAACCGUGAAAGUCAGUUUUGAAGCAAACAACAAUAUUGAGUUCCUGCAAACUAAUCUCAUGACUCUCCUCUCCCCCACAAGUUUCAUCAAAGUAUAUCCUCAACUUUAUCUGAUUUUUUAUUUUAUUUUAUUGUUCUCCAUUUGGUGGUAAUUUGAAAUUAACUUAACAUGAACUUAUGAUCUAUAUCAUCUAAAGGUUGGUUACAAAAACAAUUGUUCUUAUGAUACAUAAUAUAUGUGUUGUUGUUCUUUAUAGUUGACAUGUUCUUUCAAUGAAACCUCUUAAAGCAAUGAGAUGGAUCUGUUGAGAUUAAAAGUGUAAUCAUGUUUAAGUUAUGAAAACAAUGAUAGAGAGGUAUGUUUCCUCGAGUGAUCGAAAGGACAUAUUGAAUUGAAAUGCACAAAGAUGUAUUUUAUUACAUAGUAUAGCUCAGCAAACACAAACUAUAUAUUAAACAUAAUGGUACUUGAUGGUUGUUGGGUUCUUCUCAAAGAUAUGCAAACAAAUUGGUAAUGAUAUUAUAUCAGCAAGAGAAGGUAAUGAACAGUAAACAAUACAAACCCAAGAUAGAACAUGAGAUAAAGGUAAAUUCAGUUUAAUUUCUAGACAAGUUAAUCGAUUAAUUACAGUUCCUAGCACAAUGAUAUGUCUCACAUGACUUAUGAUCCAUGUUCUAGAAUGCGGACGUUUAGCCGACAAGGCGCUCGGCGUUGAAUCUCGCCUCGAUUUUAGCCAAAUCGGUAUAAUUAAUUGGAGAAGCAAUAAAACGCUUUGAAAACCGAUUUAUUCAGCUAAAUUUUAGACUCUGGUGACAAAUGAUUGGCCCUGGUACAUGCCCAGUUGUCUGAGAAGAGUGGAGACUUCUCCUUGUAUUUAUAGUGGGCUGAAGACUCCUCUUAGAGUAAAAUUAGUUGAUGACGUAAAAAUGCAGUUGGUUUAAAAAAAAAAAUUAUUGACUCGGCGCAGUUUGAAAGAAAAGAAAAGUUACACUG